GCGCCCAUAGCCCAAUUGGAUAGAGCGUCUGGCUACGGACCAGAAGGUUGGGGGUUCGAGUCCUCCUGGGCGUACAA
This 77-nucleotide transfer RNA is filed under the name Fidelibacterota bacterium. RNAcentral's name for it is "tRNA-Arg". It matches the Rfam family "tRNA". Rfam says of the family: Transfer RNA (tRNA) molecules are approximately 80 nucleotides in length. Their secondary structure includes four short double-helical elements and three loops (D, anti-codon, and T loops). The record is from RNAcentral. Lineage: Bacteria; Pseudomonadati; Fidelibacterota.